Molecule: transfer RNA, 68 nt
Filed under: Stolotermes ruficeps
Lineage: Eukaryota; Metazoa; Arthropoda; Insecta; Blattodea; Termopsidae
Description: tRNA-Cys
Source: RNAcentral
GGUCUUAUAUUCAUGAGUGAUAAUAGAAUGCAAUUCUGUAGGGGUAGUUUUAUUUACUACUAAGGCUU